This is a non-coding RNA of Callorhinchus milii (elephant shark), 429 nucleotides long. Lineage: Eukaryota; Metazoa; Chordata; Chondrichthyes; Chimaeriformes; Callorhinchidae. The record is from the annotation of a RefSeq genome assembly.
AUGGAUACGUCGGAAAAGAAUGUCGGAUCGAGUAGUGCAGUUUGCCAGACACAGCCUCAACAAGCGGCUUUUGCUGAUCUCUGUGGUGGGGACUCUGUCAGUCAGAAAGCUGCCCCAAUGGUUAGGACAGAAGGAGAGUCGGUGACUUUUGAAUGCAGCUAUUCCACGACUGAAAGCUAUUUCUAUCUGUUCUGGUACCGACAUUACAAGGAAAAGCAGCCGGAGUUUAUAAUUAGCAGAUACAGUCACAGUGAUAAUCCCGACAAAGGAGCAGGAUUUGAAAAUCGUUUCUCUGCUGAGCUCCAGAAAUCAAACUCAUUCACCAGUUUAUCCAUCUCUGAGCUGGUGUUGUCUGACAGCGCUGUGUAUUACUGUGCCUUCACACUCACCACAGUGAUAGACUGCACUGCAAGUCUCGUACAAAACUGA